Molecule: ribosomal RNA, 440 nt
Filed under: uncultured bacterium
Lineage: Bacteria
Description: partial 16S ribosomal RNA
Rfam family: Bacterial small subunit ribosomal RNA
Source: RNAcentral
CCUACGGGUGGCAGCAGUGGGGAAUAUUGCACAAUGGGGGAAACUCUGAUGCAGCGACGCCGCGUGAGUGAAGAAGGCAUUCUUUAUGUAAAGCUCUAUUAGCAGGGAAGAAAAUGACGGUACCUGAGUAAGAAUCCCCGGCUCACUACGUUCCAGCAGCCGCGGUAAUACGUAGGGGGCAAGCGUUAUCCGGAUUUACUGGGUGUAAAGGGGGCGUAGACGGCAGUGCAAGUCUGGAGUGAAAGGGGGGGGCUCAACCCCCGGACUGCUCUUGAAACUGUAGGGCUGGAGUGCAGGAGAGGUAAGUGGAAUGCCUGGUGUAGCGGUGAAAUGCGUAGAUAUUAGGAGGAACACCAGUGGCGAAGGCGGCUUACUGGACUGUAACUGACGUUGAGGCUCGAAAGCGUGGGGAGCAAACAGGAUUAGAUACCCGAGUAGUC